RNAcentral lists this unclassified non-coding RNA (378 nucleotides) under plant metagenome. RNAcentral describes it as "partial contains 5.8S ribosomal RNA, internal transcribed spacer 2, and large subunit ribosomal RNA". The stretch from base 1 to 105 matches the Rfam family "5.8S ribosomal RNA", at positions 50 to 154 of the family's 154-position model. The record is from RNAcentral.
GAAAUGCGAUAAGUAAUGUGAAUUGCAGAAUUCAGUGAAUCAUCGAAUCUUUGAACGCAUCUUGCGCUCCUUGGUAUUCCUUGGAGCAUGCCUGUUUGAGUAUCAUGAAAUCUUCAAAGUAAAUCUUUUGUUAACUCAAUUGGUUUCUACUUUGGUAUUGGAGGUCUUUGCAGCUUCACACCUGCUCCUCUUUGUUCAUUAGCUGGAUCUCAGUGUUAUGCUUGGUUCCACUCGGCGUGAUAAGUUAUCUAUCGCUGAGGUCACUGUAAAAGGUGGCCAAGGUAAAUGCAGAUGAACCGCUUCUAAUAGUCCAUUGACUUGGACAAUACUUUUAUGAUCUGAUCUCAAAUCAGGUAGGACUACCCGCUGAACUUAAGC